UACGUAGGUGGCAAGCGUGUCCGGAAUUAUUGGGCGUAAAGCGCGCGCAGGCGGCCCUUUAAGUCUGAUGUGAAAGCCCACGGCUCAACCGUGGAGGGUCAUUGGAAACUGGGGGACUUGAGUGCAGGAGAGAAGAGUGGAAUUCCACGUGUAGCGGUGAAAUGCGUAGAGAUGUGGAGGAACACCAGUGGCGAAGGCGACUCACUGGUCCAUAACUGACGCUGAGGCACGAAAGCGUGGGGAGCAAACAGG
Molecule: ribosomal RNA, 252 nt
Filed under: uncultured bacterium
Lineage: Bacteria
Description: partial 16S ribosomal RNA
Rfam family: Bacterial small subunit ribosomal RNA
Source: RNAcentral